UUGGAGGGCAAGUCUGGUGCCAGCAGCCGCGGUAAUUCCAGCUCCAAUAGCGUAUAUUAAAGUUGUUGCAGUUAAAAAGCUCGUAGUUGAAUUUCGGGAUCAGAGUGUCGGUCGUGCCUCGGUACGAACUGGUAUUAUUGGUUCCUACCUUCUGAAGAACCGCGAUGUCAUUAAUUUGGUGUCGUGGGGAAUCAGGACUGUUACUUUGAAAAAAUUAGAGUGUUUAAAGCAGGCUUACGCUUGAAUACAUUAGCAUGGAAUAAUGAAAUAGGACGUUUGAUUCUAUUUUGUUGGUUUCUAGGAUUGACGUAAUGAUUAAUAGGGAUAGUUGGGGGCAUUAGUAUUCAAUUGUCAGAGGUGAAAUUCUUGGAUUUAUUGAAGACUAACUACUGCGAAAGCAUUUGCCAAGGAUGUUUUCAUUAAUCAAGAACGAAAGUUAGGGGAUCGAAGACGAUCAGAUACCGUCGUAGUCUUAACCAUAAACUAUGCCGACUAGGGAUCGGAUGAUGUUAAUUUUUUAAUGACUCAUUCGGCGCCUUACGGGAAACCAAAGUGUUUGGGUUC
RNAcentral lists this ribosomal RNA (564 nucleotides) under uncultured Glomeromycotina. RNAcentral describes it as "SSU rRNA". It matches the Rfam family "Eukaryotic small subunit ribosomal RNA", at positions 548 to 1114 of the family's 1831-position model. Lineage: Eukaryota; Fungi; Glomeromycota. The record is from RNAcentral.